Molecule: long non-coding RNA, 629 nt
Filed under: Microcebus murinus (gray mouse lemur)
Lineage: Eukaryota; Metazoa; Chordata; Mammalia; Primates; Cheirogaleidae
Description: lncRNA (ENSMICG00000048271.1)
Source: RNAcentral
UGGGACCUUAAACCACUUGCCCAACCUCACUGACACUCCAUCCAUCCCUCAUCUGCAGAACUGGGUGAAGCCCCCAGCCCACUCUCCCCCCAACCUGUGACCUAUGACCUGUGACCUGUGACCUGCUGCAGGUCCCGGCACACAAAGCCACGAUGCGUGGAGGCUGCUCUUCUCACUGGCACUAUGGUUGUUGCUGACGUUACCAGCGUCACCUCGAGCAAGCACAGCUCCUGAGAAGGUGCCAGACACAUCGGAUCUGUCAGGGCGCCAGUGCAUCCAGUGGCAACCAACGUCGCUGACACUGACCAUCACCUGGAGGAAAACUCCUGAAGCCACUUGCUUUUCACGGUAACACCAGUGUCAUUAGCCCAAUAUACAGAUGAAGAAACCAAGAUUCAGAGAGGUCCAACAUCCCUCAGGGGCACGGCCUUUGGGACCACACAGUCAAGAUGCCUUUGGCGCCAGUUCUGAGCUCAGGACCAGUGCACAGGCUUUUAAGAAGCUCUCCCCUGGAUCCCAGGAGCUUGCCUCCCCCUCUUGCCUUGUCCUUCAGGCCAGCCUAGGGGCCCUCACGCCCACCUCUGUGGCUGCCCUGGCAACAUCAGGGAAGACAUGACUGUGCCUCCCGC